RNAcentral lists this ribosomal RNA (484 nucleotides) under uncultured bacterium. Its description in RNAcentral is "partial 16S ribosomal RNA". It matches the Rfam family "Bacterial small subunit ribosomal RNA", at positions 30 to 507 of the family's 1533-position model. The record is from RNAcentral.
AUUGAACGCUGGCGGCAGGCCUAACACAUGCAAGUCGAGCGGAUGAAGGGUGCUUGCUCCUGGAUUCCGCGUGGGACGGGUGAGUGAUGCCUAGGAAUCUGCUUGGCAGUGGGGGAUAACGACCGGAAACAGGCGCUAAUACCGCAUAAGUCCUGAGGCAGAAAGAGGGGGGUGUUCGGACCUCACGCUAUCAGAUGAACCUAGGUCGGAUUGGCUAGGUGGUGGGGUGAAGGGCUACCAAGGAGGCCAUCCGCAACUGGUCUGCGAGGAUGAUCAGUCACACGGGAACUGAGACACGGUCCAGAGUCCUACGGGAGGCCGCAGUGGGCAAUAGUGGACAGUGGGCGGAAGCCUUGUCCAGCGAUGCCGAGUGUGUGAAGAAGGUCUUCGGAUUGUAAAGCAGUUUAAGUUGGGAGGAAGGGCAGUAAGUUGAUACCUUGCUGUUUUGACGGUACCAACUGAAUAAGCACCGGCUAACUUCGUG